RNAcentral lists this long non-coding RNA (3211 nucleotides) under Homo sapiens (human). RNAcentral's name for it is "non-protein coding FENDRR:21". Lineage: Eukaryota; Metazoa; Chordata; Mammalia; Primates; Hominidae. The record is from RNAcentral.
ACUGCGCGCCAGGCCAGGUUCCUGAGAGCAGACAGCGCGGGCUGGGAGCGCCGGCAAGGGCGGCCCUCGCGCACCUGGCUGCCAGCCCGCAGGGGGCUCGCACGCAGACCUGCCCUUGCCACCUCAGCGCUCGGGUGCGGGCUGGGGGCGGUGGAGCCACGAAAGGUGGUGCCGAGAGCGGAGCGCAGGACAGCGCAGGAGCCCCGGCGCAUCGCGGCGCGCACAGACCCAGGAUUUGUGAAGAGGUGACCCAAAUUUCAAGACAAUGUUGGAUGCAAACGGAUUUGCCAGCAACUGCAUCACUGUCAAAACCAGCUCUGCCCGUGUCUUCCGAAGAUACCAAGUGAAAUACAUGUAGAUGGGAUUUACAUCUGAAAAACCAAGUGAGAAACUGAAGACCAGAGAGGGUGAGUGGUUUACUCAGUUUGGCACAACUGACCCCAACCUAGCCCUCCAUGAGGACUGAGCGCAUGAGAGAUCCUGAGCCACAGCCGCCCAGCCCUGCUCCUCUCGAAUUUCUGACCUACAGGAACUGCAAGAAGUAAUGAAAGACUGCUGUUUAAAGCCACUGCAUUUUGGCAUGAUUUGUUAUGCAGUCGUAGAUAACCAGAAAACAUCGGAUUUACAUUUUAAGGAAACAGAGAAGCAAAGAAGUUAGCAAGCUUGUUUUGGCAGAAGAAAAAACACAAAAUACCCAACCACAGAUCCUCAAAAAUAUUGCUAAGCACUAAUUUUGCUAACAUGUUAGACAGCCUUCGGAUCUAGGCAAUCUUGUUCCUCAGCUGGAAAGAGUUCCUGCCAGCCAUGUGAUUCCAAAUCCACCCUGGACAUAUGGGGAUAAUGAGAAAAUCAGCUCCGGCCUUCCCUGGCCUUCCAGCCAAGUGAAUGGGGGCAUCCCCUGGUGCUUCAGCCCGGGGCCCACCCAGAGGAUGCUAGCUGGCCUGCAGAGGCCUCAACCAUGCCCUCCUGGACUCAGGUAAGACUGAGGUUUCCAUGCCCUCAAAACAAUUGUUCAGACAAAAACUCACUGCCCAGGUCAAAGUCACAGCACCAGAAAGCCAACCUGAGGAUGAAGACAAAGCUCUUUGUUGGCACAGUCCCCUGAUCAUUCGAGGUCAGCAUCUCCAUCAAAAUGGACCCAAUGCUGAGGCAAGAAGGAGAACAUCACUGUUAAGAAGGUAAUGAGUCACAAAUGCUAUUUCGAUGGUUUUCUUUGAAAGAAAUACACAGAACCAAACCAAUUUUAAUUAAAGAUCUUGUCUUUGUAAUCAGGCAGCCACAAAUGAAGGCAAAACUGCUUUCAUGUGGCAUAAUAUACACAGAGCUGAACUAGUUUUCCCAUAAAAGGGCAGGUUCUUUUCUUCAAAUAAGAAAAGAGUUUGUUCCUAACAAUAUGGGGGAUGCAACAGAAAGCUGUCUUUUGCAAAGUAUAAAAUUGCAGAUCCUCCCGUGGAAGCCAUUUCUUGAUGCUAAACCAAUGCGAACGUUUGCCAAACGCACAUGCGAGCCGGGAUUAUCCUACCCUUUGAGAUUAGACAUGUGAUCCUGAUUUUUAAGUGAAAAACGCAGCCAGAGGCCAAAUAAACAUACCUACAAGUACAUCGAAAGCUCAAAUGGUUGAGAAAUGAUUGUAACACACCCCGGUGUGUAUUUCUGAGGAAGAAUCAACAUGCACAUGGAAAUUGAUGUUUUGAUUUUUAAUUUUAAAACGACGACAGAACUGAAAUACCUCCCCUAACUAGGUCCACUGAAACCAGUGAGGAGAUAAUCAUUUUCAGUUAAAUAUGCAUGUAAUUUAAUAAUCCACAGAUGGAAAAUGCAUUUGAGGUGGACUGAACACAGCCAGGAGUUUUUGCUUAUCGACAGCACUGAAUCCUGCCUUGACUAGAGAGACUCGUCAUGUGAUCAACUGUGGCCAGAGGGCAUCCUGCAGACAGCUCCUGUCACACCACACUGACCAGACUCUUAUGAGUAUUUAAGCAUCUUCAGGGAAGCGAUUGACUGUCUUAUAAUGGUCUUACAAGUACGGAACUUUAUUACCUGCUAAUAAUCAGAGCACAUGAUGGCACAAUAGAAUAUACGAGUGAAGUUCUAAAUGCAAGGUUGUUCUUAUUCUGUGAGUGGCAAAACUCAUGCAGUGAGCAGAUAAAGCUGGCAGGAGGCAUUGGCGCCCUAAUGCUGGGCACUAACCACCUGCCCGGACUGCGAAUAUCUGUUGGGUCCUUUCUAUAUCUGGUCUAUUCUCGUGUUUGAUUAUAUCCUGGUGGCAAGAAUAGCAAAAUCAACUCUCCUUCCUAUCCCAUGUGGAGAGGCAUGAUUUGAGUCAGAGAGCAUUAUCCUCUCUGCGUUAUCCAACCCCAUGUCCCAUGAUGCACUUUGUAGACAAGCAAGUGUCCCUGGUGGAGAAUCCACAGCCACACAUCCUCAUUGGUUGCAAGGAUCAGUGUCCAAUAUCUACUGCCAUGAUCAUUCUCAGUUUUACAUCCACAGAGCUUCAUAGAAUUCUAACACCACAGGUCCAAGUAGAGGUUUUGGCCUCAGAGUGGGCUAGAUUCCACCUCUGACAGCAGCUGUGGGACUGUUUUUCCAUCUGUAAAAUGGAGACAAGAGUAUCACCUACCUCAUGGUGUUGGUGGGAUCGUUAAACAGAAUUCCGAUCAUGAAACCCUUAGCCUGCUCCCUGCAUAGGCUGCAUGCGCUCAGUGAGCUAUGGCUCUGUUUCAUGCUGACUUUACCAUCAUGUAAGCAGUUUUAAAAAUGCUAGAAGCUUUAGUCAUAGAAUUACCAUAUGAUACAGCCUACUGCAGAGUCCAGAGGCUGAGGCAGGAGAGUUACUUGAACCUGGGAGGCGGAGGUUGCAGUGAGCCAAGAUCGCGCCACUGCACUCCAGCCUGGGCAACAGAGUGAGAUUCUGUCUCAACACAAAAAAGAAGACAUGUGUCCCCAUCACAGUAUCAUACAGAGUGCUUCCACUGCCCUAAAAUACCCUGUGCUCUUCCUAUUCAUCCCUCUCUUCAACCCCAGCAACCACUGAUCCUUUUACCAUCUCCAUGGUUUUGCCUUUCCCAGAAUGUCAUAUUGUUGGAAUCAUACGCUAUGUAGCCUUUGCAAAUGGGCUUCUUUCACCGAGCAAUGUGCAUUGAAGGUGCCUCUAUGACUUUUCAAGGGUUGAUAGCUCAUUCCUUUUUAUUGCUAAAUAAUAUUCCAUUGU